Molecule: long non-coding RNA, 139 nt
Organism: Propithecus coquereli (Coquerel's sifaka)
Lineage: Eukaryota; Metazoa; Chordata; Mammalia; Primates; Indriidae
Exons: 3
Source: RefSeq, a predicted model, not a curated record
UCGCUUUGCACAUACAGCCCUUGUAUGAAACAAGGAGGAGAAGAUGUGUGUCCAGACCUUCAAGGCGGCACAGAGCCUGGAGGGGAUGGCUGAGACUGUGGGCAAACUUCAGUUCCCCUCCUUCCCCAGUGGACCCGCA